RNAcentral lists this ribosomal RNA (301 nucleotides) under uncultured bacterium. RNAcentral describes it as "partial 16S ribosomal RNA". It matches the Rfam family "Bacterial small subunit ribosomal RNA", at positions 509 to 807 of the family's 1533-position model. The record is from RNAcentral.
CAGCCGCCGCGGGAAUACAGAGGGUGCGAGCGUUAAUCGGAUUUACUGGGCGUAAAGCGUGCGUAGGCGGCUAAUUGAGUCGGAUGUGAAAUCCCCGAGCUUAACUUGGGAAUUGCAUUCGAUACUGGUUAGCUAGAGUGUGGGAGAGGAUGGUAGAAUUCCAGGUGUAGCGGUGAAAUGCGUAGAGAUCUGGAGGAAUACCGAUGGCGAAGUCAGCCAUCUGGCCUAACACUGACGCUGAGGUACGAAAGCAUGGGGAGCAAACAGGAUUAGAUACCCGUGUAGUCCCUGUCUCUUAUAC